GUAGGUGGCAAGCGUUGUCCGGAAUUAUUGGGCGUAAAGCGCGCGCAGGCGGGGUUCGUUUAAGUCUGAUGUGAAAGCCCACGGGCUCAACCGUGGAGGGUCAUUGGAAACUGGAGAACUUGAGUACAGAAGAGGAAAGCGGAAUUCCACGUGUAGCGGUGAAAUGCGUAGAGAUGUGGAGGAACACCAGUGGCGAAGGCGGCUUUCUGGUCUGUAACUGACGCUGAGGCGCGAAAGCGUGGGGAGCAAACAGGAUUAGAUACCCUGGUAGUCCACGCCGUAAACGAUGAGUGCUAAGUGUUACGGGGGUUUCCGCCCCUUAGUGCUGCAGCUAACGCAUUAAGCACUCCGCCUGGGGAGUACGGCCGCAAGGCUG
Molecule: ribosomal RNA, 376 nt
Filed under: uncultured organism
Description: partial 16S ribosomal RNA
Rfam family: Bacterial small subunit ribosomal RNA
Source: RNAcentral